CAGCCUCAAGGAACACCCCGCGGGCCUGUAGUAUGGCGUCCCAAGGCAGAGUAGUGGGUAUCGUCAACAUGAUGCUGCUCCCUACUCUACUUUAGCCUCUCAUUAUAACAUUUAUUAGUUAUCAAAGUGCCAUGAAGUUCAGGAAAUAAUAUUCGUCGCAUCAAAAAUGCUAUAAAGGUGAAAAUUGCUUUUCCAAAAGGAGAGAGGCAGGCAAAUACGUGGGAUCCGCCGGCCCAACACCUGUCAAUUCGCCCACCUCCCAUCGUUUCCAGCUUGAAGAGAAAGCUCAUUAAUAUCGUGAAAUAAGUGAUGAACAAGUGCUGUGAAGUAGUGUGGCGUGGGUUAUAUGAGGAUCAGCUGGCGAAUGAAGCGUGCAAUGGGGGAGACAGGCAUGCAAAGUUUACCAAGCAUCAACACACAAACGAUGUAUCGCUUGUUCCAGCGCGGAGAGAAGCGAAUCUCGUGAUCAACAUUCGUCCCAUGCAGAACUUCGGUGCCUCCUCACAAACCUUGCCCCCAAUCAAGCGCGUGCUGGCAAUGCCUCUCGUGUGCAGUCAGUCAGUCAUGCAUAUAACGUGCUAACAGACGCUAGGCCAGGCCCUCUGAAGUGGUACGGCGCGAUAGGCUGAAUAUCCACUGAGUUCUUAAUGUGGCGACCCACCCAGCGCGCCCUUAGAAGACCACCACUACUACUGGCAUUACAACCUCCAACACAACUGCGACGGUCAUCCGAGUCUGCUCUUCGGUAAGAGAGAGGCGUGGUGAAUAGGGAGGCGGGGCGGCGGCACCAUUCAUCCCCAGACCCACGUCAACACGGGAGUGAAUCCCUGUGAGUCCCGCUGCCACCCCGCUGCUCCAUGCCCCCCAUCGGAGCCCACACCCUUCGUACUACUUUUGUUCCUCUGCGGCAUAAUUAGGCAUUAGCCACAAGACAACCUGAUUAGUGCGGUAUGCGUGGCAGGGUAAAGUCUUACUGAGGCUCCCUGGGCGUGUACUAGUUGUUUACUUUGUACGGAGGCGGUGGCACAGAUGAUGGAUCUUGUGGUGAAGACGGCUGUCAACUGAUAAAUUAACUGAGUAGAAGACUUGAUAUUGAAGGUAAACGCCAAGCACAGUGAAAGUGAGUGUUCUAUGUUGGCUUUUGACCACGAGUAUCCAGUAGGCUUGGUGGGGACAGCUGGUAGGAUGUACUCUUAUUAUGGAGGCUACAGUACCUAGUAAUACAGUGGUGCAGAGACUUGGCGGGGAUGGCUGGUAGGAUGUCAGUGUACUCAUAUUAUGCAGAGUACAGUACAGUUCAUUGGUGUGGUGAUGCAAGAAUUUGAUGGGGACAGCUGCAUGUGGGAAGUUAAUGUAAAGUGUAGGUCCCGGGUAUACUGUAGCGGUACCCAGGCUUUGUGGCGAGAGCUGUGUGUGGGGAUGUCGAAAAGGUUGUGGUGAUGCGAGGCUCGCGUCAGGCGAGAGAGAGGCAGAGAGAGAGAGAGAGAGAGAGAGAGAGAGAGAGAGAGAGAGAGAGAGAGAGAGAGAGAGAGAGAGAGAGACCGUCAGAGUCAUUGGUAUUGCAGCAUUUUGAACCCCGGCGGCUGAUAAUAUUUUAGGUUAUUGCAUAGGCAGGACAUGGCAGGCAUUGCAUAUAAACAUGUAUACAACAUAAACAUGCGAGUAUAUCCCCACCGUAGUUAGGAAACUUUUUGAAUUGGUUUUACGUAUUCACAUUGGUGACGUCGUUUGUCUGCUUGUU
This is a long non-coding RNA of Scylla paramamosain (green mud crab), 1741 nucleotides long. RefSeq lists it as uncharacterized. The transcript has 4 exons. The record is from RefSeq and is a predicted model, not a curated record. Lineage: Eukaryota; Metazoa; Arthropoda; Malacostraca; Decapoda; Portunidae.